UGGGGAAUCUUGCGCAAUGCGCGAAAGCGUGACGCAGCAACGCCGCGUGGGGGAAGAAGGCCUUCGGGUUGUAAACCUCUUUCAGUUGGGACGAAGGUUGGGCGGUGAAUAGCCGUUCUGACUGACGGUACCUUCAGAAGAAGCCCCGGCUAACUACGUGCCAGCAGCCGCGGUAAUACGUAGGGGGCAAGCGUUGUCCGGAAUCAUUGGGCGUAAAGCGCGUGUAGGCGGCUCGGUAAGUCCGCUCUGAAAGUCCAGGGCUCAACCCUGGGAUGCGGGUGGAUACUGCCGGGCUCGAGUCCGGAAGAGGCGAGUGGAAUUCCCGGUGUAGCGGUGAAAUGCGCAGAUAUCGGGAGGAACACCAAUGGCGAAGGCAGCUCGCUGGGACGUGACUGACGCUGAGACGCGAAAGCGUGGGGAGCAAACA
RNAcentral lists this ribosomal RNA (427 nucleotides) under uncultured Conexibacter sp. RNAcentral describes it as "bacterial SSU rRNA". It matches the Rfam family "Bacterial small subunit ribosomal RNA", at positions 355 to 774 of the family's 1533-position model. Lineage: Bacteria; Bacillati; Actinomycetota; Thermoleophilia; Solirubrobacterales; Conexibacteraceae. The record is from RNAcentral.